This 578-nucleotide unclassified non-coding RNA is filed under the name Hevea brasiliensis (rubber tree). Lineage: Eukaryota; Viridiplantae; Streptophyta; Magnoliopsida; Malpighiales; Euphorbiaceae. The record is from RNAcentral.
UUUUUUUUUUUUUUCAUUUUUAAUGUUUCUUCCAAUUGGCUGUAUACCAAUUCCCAAUUACCAUGUAAAAAACAAGAAAAAACCCUCUAUCCUGUUAGUUACUUAGAGACCGUCGUAACCUGUUUUCUCAAAUCCAGCCCAAAAUCCUCAAUCCCCUUGUUUAUUGUAGCUGAUUUUGAAGACAUCAUCCUUAUCACAGCUUUUGUUACAUCAGUACUCGUCAAAUUAAAUAGAGCGCAAACUCAAGAACAGAACAAGUAUCUGCAUUACUUUAUUAAAGUAUUUUAAUCAGAAAAGUUCAGCCAUUCCAUGCAUGUGAAACCAUCAAAAUAUUCUCUAGUUAGCACUUCAAGAGAGCCAGCAUCCACUAUGAUUUCCACUGCUACGUGAAACUUCCCACCAUCCCCAGGAUUUCAAAACAUUGUCCUACUUUUUCACCAACUACGAUAAUAACACAUUUUUUAGGAGGAAAAAAAAAAACUAUGUUUUCUAAAGGUUUCAUUCUAAGGUCUACAUUUGCAUGUUUAAUAUGAUUAAAGGGCAAAAACACACUACAUUACCCGCUUGAUAAAAUCCUG